UAUAUAUAUGUGUGUGUGUGUGCGCGUGUGCGUGUAUCAUCGUUCUUGUUGUGUUUCUCAGUGGAAUUAAGAUUAUCAGCUAGCUUAGAUGGACACUGCAAGUGCAAGAGAAGAGCAGCGGCGUCAAGAACUAGAGAAGCUUCUCCGGAAAUGGAGUCCCCCGGAGGUUCCUGUUCACAGCAUUUACCAUAGAAAGAGCUUCUUCAGCUUCUGGCGAGAUCCAGACUACGAGAUCCAUAAACUCAAGAAGACGGUGCCGAUCCGCGGCGAAUACGUCGACCUCCACUUACUCGACACGCAAGCCGUUCGGCAUCACAUGAUCAAGUACGGGUACCUUCAUUUCGGCCUGGUCCAAGUCGCCGUGAAGCCUCUCACCGCCGCCGGCUUGGACUGCUCUGUUCUCGUCUGCCUCCGCGACUGUCGCCACUUCAAGUUUGGCGAUUCCCUUCUGGCGGUGGCUCAAGCUUCUCUCCGCCACGGACCCAUUUAUUUUGACUGCUAUCCAAGCUAUCUGGUGGCGCUUUCGGACGCUGCGAAGCCCAUGACUUCGACUCUCAGCAUCAAAAUUGAGAGUUCCCGGAAUGUCGAGCUGAGUUCAUCGGAUAUAGCCGUCGAGUACAGGGUUUACUAUCGAGUAGCCAACAAUGCUUUUUACGGCUUAAAGGAGUCUCGCUCCUCCGUCGGGGAGACUACUUUCGUGGAGACCAAUCUGGUGGGCGGCGGCCGUGCCGUUCCAAGGACUAUCCAGUUUGAUUCGUUUGAAGUGCCGGAAAGAUGGAUGGACAGAACAGAGCCCACCAACAAUGGCGAUUGACACUUGCAUAUCAAAACAAAAAGAGAGAGAGAUAUUUUUCUCUCACAUGGAAGCUUCUAGCCGAAUGGAGAAAUCAGAGGAGAGAAACAGAGAGUGAGACAUAGAGGGAGCGAGCAGAGAGGGAGCUCAGGAGAGAUUGCGAAGGAGAGAGUUGAUGCGAAAGAGGGAGAGAGAGACGAGGUGCAAGGCGGCCAUGGAAGCUGCCGAGUGAAGCUCGGCCAUGGCAGUCGAGUGAACCAGUAGCAGCGGCAAGCUUCUUCCCCUUCUCCUCUACCUUGAAUCGCUGUUAUAGUGGGUAAGUAGGGUCCAAGGUGAGUGUCAAUUACUGUUGCACAGUGAAGCUAACUGUAACUAUAUAAUAUAUAUAUAUAUAUAUUGAGCACAAUAAGUACACCGUGGGUGGGUGUAUUUGGCUUUUGGGCUGUGAGUGUAGCGUUGUAUGCGUGUGUUCAGUGUGUUCAGAGCUAAAGCAGAGGUCCUUGGCCGAGAGUGAGCAGGUCCCUUUUUCCUUCCUUGUUGCUCCUCCAAUGUUUGUGAGUAUAUAUAUAUAUAUAUAUAUAUAUAUAUUUAUAUAUACAUAUAUUUAUAUAUGUGCAGUGGGUGGCAUCGGUUUCGUGGGUGAAAGAAUUUACUGGUGAGCAGGUGUGUGAUUACCCAAGUGUUUGAGGUUUGAGGUAGUGUAGCCAUGAGUGUAAGGAGCUUUGUAAGUGUGUAAAUGUGUAGGGGCAGUGAGUAGGAGCUUUGGUUGGGGGUAGAAGAUGCUCCACAGUGAAGGUGUGUGAGUGUAAUACCGUGUGUGUUCAAUACCGUGUGUGUUCACUGGGUGUGUUUUGUUUUAUAUUAAUAUUGUUAUUGUUAUUGUAAAGAUAAGAUUAAUAGUAGUAAAUAAUAAUUUUUAUUGUUAGCUCCUGGUGAUGCUCUCGCUGGAGAUGGAAGGUGACCCAUGUAUAUUUAAUAGUGUAUAUUAAGUGUUUAUAUAUAGAUAUAAACAAUAGUAAAUAAUAUAUAUAUUUGUAUAUUAAGUGAGUUUGUGGUGAAUUCGUUGUGAGCUAAUUAAGUGAGCUGGCUGUGUCAGUGCGUGUCUAAAACACUAAAGGAAAUGACCUUGGAUCAUAUGUGCAAGGAAAAAAUAAUAGAAUUUUGGGAGUUUUCGGCAAAGGAAGUGAUCAGGAAAUGAUUUAAUUUGCAUCGGGAGCUCGAGUGAGGUCAGAAUCAGCUGGUUUCAGG
RNA transcript from Diospyros lotus (date-plum), 2041 nucleotides. RefSeq lists it as uncharacterized. Lineage: Eukaryota; Viridiplantae; Streptophyta; Magnoliopsida; Ericales; Ebenaceae. The record is from RefSeq and is a predicted model, not a curated record. The transcript has 3 exons.